This 734-nucleotide ribosomal RNA is filed under the name uncultured Bacilli bacterium. Its description in RNAcentral is "bacterial SSU rRNA". It matches the Rfam family "Bacterial small subunit ribosomal RNA", at positions 28 to 745 of the family's 1533-position model. The record is from RNAcentral. Lineage: Bacteria; Bacillati; Bacillota; Bacilli.
GACGAACGCUGGCGGCGUGCCUAAUACAUGCAAGUAGAACGCUGAAGAGAGGAGCUUGCUCUUCUUGGAUGAGUUGCGAACGGGUGAGUAACGCGUAGGUAACCUGCCUUGUAGCGGGGGAUAACUAUUGGAAACGAUAGCUAAUACCGCAUAACAAUGGAUGACACAUGUCAUUUAUUUGAAAGGGGCAAUUGCUCCACUACAAGAUGGACCUGCGUUGUAUUAGCUAGUAGGUGAGGUAAUGGCUCACCUAGGCGACGAUACAUAGCCGACCUGAGAGGGUGAUCGGCCACACUGGGACUGAGACACGGCCCAGACUCCUACGGGAGGCAGCAGUAGGGAAUCUUCGGCAAUGGGGGCAACCCUGACCGAGCAACGCCGCGUGAGUGAAUAAGGUUUUCGGAUCGUAAAGCUCUGUUGUAAGUCAAGAACGGGUGUGAGAGUGGAAAGUUCACACUGUGACGGUAGCUUACCAGAAAGGGACGGCUAACUACGUGCCAGCAGCCGCGGUAAUACGUAGGUCCCGAGCGUUGUCCGGAUUUAUUGGGCGUAAAGCGAGCGCAGGCGGUUUGAUAAGUCUGAAGUUAAAGGCUGUGGCUCAACCAUAGUUCGCUUUGGAAACUGUCAAACUUGAGUGCAGAAGGGGAGAGUGGAAUUCCAUGUGUAGCGGUGAAAUGCGUAGAUAUAUGGAGGAACACCGGUGGCGAAAGCGGCUCUCUGGUCUGUAACUGACG